RNAcentral lists this non-coding RNA (27 nucleotides) under Bombyx mori (domestic silkworm). Lineage: Eukaryota; Metazoa; Arthropoda; Insecta; Lepidoptera; Bombycidae. The record is from RNAcentral.
AAUGGAAAUAUACGACAUUGUUGUGCG